RNAcentral lists this ribosomal RNA (500 nucleotides) under uncultured bacterium. RNAcentral describes it as "partial 16S ribosomal RNA". It matches the Rfam family "Bacterial small subunit ribosomal RNA", at positions 30 to 523 of the family's 1533-position model. The record is from RNAcentral.
AUUGAACGCUGGCGGCAUGCCUUACACAUGCAAGUCGAACGGUAACAGGGAGCUUGCUCCGCUGACGAGUGGCGAACGGGUGAGUAAUGUAUCGGAACGUACCUUUUAGUGGGGGAUAACGUAGCGAAAGUUACGCUAAUACCGCAUAUUCUCUGAGGAGGAAAGCAGGGGACCUUCGGGCCUUGCGCUAAUAGAGCGGCUGAUAUCAGAUUAGCUAGUUGGUGAGGUAAAGGCUCACCAAGGCGACGAUCUGUAGCGGGUCUGAGAGGAUGAUCCGCAACACUGGAACUGAGACACGGUCCAGACUCCUACGGGAGGCAGCAGUGGGGAAUUUUGGACAAUGGGGGCAACCCUGAUCCAGCCAUGCCGCGUGAGUGAAGAAGGCCUUCGGGUUGUAAAGCUCUUUCGGCCGGGAAAAAAUCGCAUGGGUUAAUACCCUGUGUGGAUGAUGGUACCGGAAUAAGAAGCACCGGCUAACUACGUGCCAGCAGCCGCAGUAA